GCCUCAUCAUUAGAACUGUUUCCUUUUGCUCUUCUUCUCAAAACAAGGUCGCAGAUCCACAGGCCAUCAAGAUAAUUUGGUUCAUGCUAAAGUUAUUGAACGUACGAUGGAACCAGUGAUCUUUCAAAAAGCUACCAAAACUUUGCCUACACUGUCCAUCUCUGUUCUCCGUCGUCCGUUACUUGGUUGCUUUUGUUUUCACCCAGCUACGAAAACUUUUCCUACACUGUCCUACACUGUCCAUCUCUGUUCUCCGCCGUCUGUCACUGUAAGGGUGUUGUGCGAGAAGGCCAAGGAAAUAUUAAUGGAAGAAAGCAAUGUCCAGCCUGUAAAAAGCCCUUUAACUAUCUGUGGUGAUAUUCAUGGACAAUUCCAUGAUCUGGCGGAGCUUUUCCGCAUUGGAGGAAAGUGCCCAGAUACAAACUAUUUGUUUAUGGGAGAUUAUGUGGACCGUGGCUAUUAUUCAGUUGAAACAAUGACUGGUUUUGAUCAAUGGCAAGCCCAAAAGGCCUAACUAUCUGCCUCUGGAGAUUUGUGCUUCCCCAUGGGGUUUCUCUUGGUGUUUUAGCUUUGUUCAUUAGUUUCGCUUCAACGGUAUACGAAAGCAUUAUCUUCAAAGCAGAGGGCAUCCUUAGUUGAAAAAUCAAGGCAGAAGGCUCAGGAAAGAAUAAGAACUGUGACUGAUAUAGCUUUGCAGGUCAUGAAAGUAGUGAAUUUGUAGCACAGUGGAAAUAUGUGGAAUGAGGGCGAUGUCUUCUACUUGCUCAUCCAAAGGUUCCAAUUUUUUGCAUUCUUUUGGGGUUUUUUUUUCUUAAUUUUAUUUAUGAAAUUAGAUGACUAAUUUUAAAUAAUGAGAAAUUAGUUCUUCGUUGUGAAAUGUUCAUUUUUCGGUGUUUCUAUUAAAACAAUGAAAUCUUAAUCUUGUACCAAAUGGGCUGUAAUUUCAUAUGUUUUAAUGUAAACAGUUCACUGA
Molecule: non-coding RNA, 973 nt
Organism: Malus domestica (apple)
Lineage: Eukaryota; Viridiplantae; Streptophyta; Magnoliopsida; Rosales; Rosaceae
Source: RefSeq, a predicted model, not a curated record